AUGCGGAUGAGAGAAUACACUAGGAAGUGCUGUGAGCAACUUCUCAGUUGUGUGAUCCUAGAGUAUUGGGACAGGAGCAAAUCAAGAAAAGCUGCUUCAGCUCUGCUGUUUUCCCUCUUCGAUGCUGGAUGGAGGACCUGUCUGCUGACAGAGAUCAGCUCUGUGUUGAUGAUCAUGUCUUUGAUAUUAGGUAAGUGAGGGUAUGAUGCGGAGAAUACAGAUGCUGUUCUUGGAACUGCAUGUUCUGAACUGUCAUUGUGUAUGUUUGUGGGUAGCAGAGGAGAGGACACAAGAGCUACAACAGAGCUUCUUUGGAUGUGGUGAGGCUUUCUCUAGUUUUGGGAGCAAUCAUGCACUAUUUGACAAAAUGUAUAAGUUACCAAUUUAAGACUAGGAAAACAGAAGCAGGACAAUCUGUUUGAAGUUCUGUGAAGUGUGUUUAGUACAAAAAAAGUAGGAGAUGGAACCGGAAACAAAGACUAAUAGCGCAGAAGAGAACGAGCUAUCAUUCUAGGACUGUUCCUACUAACCAUUUCUAUUAAUGGCCCUCUUACAAAAGGCAGCAUAUAAAUGAUUUUUUUUUUUUGAAGCCUAACAUUAAUAGAGAAAGAUCUGAGUCGUGUGAGAAAUAGUUGGAUAACUCCUGAAGACUAGCACAACAAGUGAAAUUAAGUAUCAAGUAAGAUAAUAUUUUUUCCAAUCAGAUGAGAUAUUGAUGUGAUACAGCUACAGGAAAUGCCAUCCCAAAGUAUGAAACUUCCAGAUGAGCAAUCAGUAUUAAUGCCAGAAUACAAAACGCUGGUGUGAACUCUGCAGUAAUGCACACAAAUUCCAGCUAUUGAACUACAAAAAAGAGUGAAUUCAAAGCAAAACAUGUAUAGUGAGGUGUUGGUAGGGAAAAGGAGAACUUUGUGUAACAGCUAGGUAAGCAACAGGAGUAAGGAAUAGCUUUACCUGUUCUUACCUCUUCCAUGAUAACAAUUUAGCCCUUAGGGAAAUGAUAGCAAGAACAAGCAGAUGAUGGUUACUGGCGAAUUAUUAAGCUGCAAGUGUACAACAUGGCCACAGUCUGACAGUGGGGCUUGCUGGGCCUAAGGAAAAGAGGGAAUGUUGUUUUAUGUAACUACAGGAAGAGAAAGGUAGGAAAGCAACCAAGGAAAAGAGCUCCUGAAGCCGAAUCAGUUCUUCACAAAAUGGC
RNAcentral lists this long non-coding RNA (1198 nucleotides) under Struthio camelus australis. RNAcentral describes it as "lncRNA (ENSSCUG00000002655.1)". The record is from RNAcentral. Lineage: Eukaryota; Metazoa; Chordata; Aves; Struthioniformes; Struthionidae.